RNAcentral lists this ribosomal RNA (951 nucleotides) under uncultured archaeon WCHA2-08. RNAcentral's name for it is "bacterial SSU rRNA". It matches the Rfam family "Archaeal small subunit ribosomal RNA", at positions 474 to 1429 of the family's 1478-position model. Lineage: Archaea; Methanobacteriati; Methanobacteriota. The record is from RNAcentral.
UACCGGCGGCUCGAGUGGUGGCCACUAUUAUUGGGCUUAAAGCGUUCGUAGCUGGGUUGUUAAGUUUCUUGGGAAAUCUACCGGCUUAACCGAUAGGCGUCCAAGGGAUACUGGCAAUCUAGGGACCGGGAGAGGUGAGGGGUACUUCAGGGGUAGGAGUGAAAUCCUGUAAUCCUUGGGGGACACCUGUGGCGAAGGCGCCUCAUUAGAACGGUCCGACAGUGAGGGACGAAAGCUGGGGGAGCAAACCGGAUUAGAUACCCGGGUAGUCCCAGCCGUAAACGAUGCGCGUUAGGUGUAUCGAUGACCACGAGUCAUCGAGGUGCCGAAGGGAAACGUGAAACGCGCCGCCUGGGAAGUACGGUCGCAAGGCUGAAACUUAAAGGAAUUGGCGGGGGAGCACCACAACAGGUGGAGCCUGCGGUUUAAUCGGACUCAACGCCGGAAAUCUCACCGGAUAAGACAGCUGAAUGAUAGCCGGGCUGAAGACUCUGCUUGACUAGCUGAGAGGAGGUGCAUGGCCGUCGUCAGUUCGUACUGUGAAGCAUCCUGUUAAGUCAGGCAACGAGCGAGACCCACGCCAACAGUUGCCAGCAUGUCCUCCGGGAUGGUGGGGACACUGUUGGGACCGCCUCUGCUAAAGAGGAGGAAGGAAUGGGCAACGGUAGGUCAGCAUGCCCCGAAUUAUCCGGGCUACACGCGGGCUACAAUGGGCAGGACAAUGGGUUUCGACACCGAAAGGUGAAGGCAAUCUCUUAAACCUGCUCGUAGUUCGGAUUGCGGGUUGCAACUCGCCCGCAUGAAGCUGGAAUCUGUAGUAAUCGCGUCUCAAAAUGGCGCGGUGAAUAUGUCCCUGCUCCUUGCACACACCGCCCGUCAAACCACCCGAGUGGGGUCUUGAUGAGGCUGCGGUUUAUGCCGUGGUCGAAUCUAGGUUCCGCAAGGGGGGUU